Elgaria multicarinata webbii is the source of this 191-nucleotide long non-coding RNA. RefSeq lists it as uncharacterized. The record is from RefSeq and is a predicted model, not a curated record. The transcript is spliced from 3 exons. NCBI's taxonomy places the organism in Eukaryota, Metazoa, Chordata, Lepidosauria, Squamata, Anguidae.
CGGGGUGGGUGAGUGAGGGCAGAGGCAGAGUGUGAGCGGUGCCAGAAGUAUCUACGUGCUCAUUUUAAACCUCGGAUUGGGAAUGUCUCUGGUCAAGACCGGAAGCUGAAAGGAUCUGGAAUCUUCCGUUGGUCUCCUUCAUGGACAUUCGAGGUAAAGACCCAACAGGGGAGGAGGAGGAGGAGGAGGAG